Molecule: long non-coding RNA, 1143 nt
Filed under: Homo sapiens (human)
Lineage: Eukaryota; Metazoa; Chordata; Mammalia; Primates; Hominidae
Description: uncharacterized LOC339260, transcript variant 2 (LOC339260)
Source: RNAcentral
AGAGAAGGGUGUCCCAGAUGUAGGCAAAGCGUCCUCCAUGUGUUCCUGGAGGACCGUCCCAAGUCCUUCUCCAUUCUCCCAACCUCUUGGGCCUGGGAUGUCCUCCACCUUUUCAAUCUGAUUUGCUCUUUGCCAUGCAGACCUGUGGAUGAAGAGCCAGAGUCCUCCAAGGUGAAGCUGGACUGAAUAUUUCUGUCCAUAAGACUAUUAGAAUCCCCCAAAGUGGGAUACCAGUGAGGACCUCACCAGCAGCUGCUGUCUCUCCAAUGCAGCUCCACAGGGCCUGUGAGCAGGGCUGGCUAUGAGAUCCUGCCCUGAAGAGCAGUACUGGGCUGCUCUGCUAGGCACCUGCAUGUCCUGCAAAGCCAUCUGCAACCAUCAGAGCCAGCGCACCUGUGCAGCCUCCUGCGGUGAGUUCUGGGACCUGAGCCCAGGGGACAGUGUGAUCACCCCCAACGCCUGUCCCCAGAGCACCCUCUGGCCCCACAGUCAGGUGGCUGAGGAGAGGAUGGCAGGAGGAGAUGUACAGUGUGGCACCUCUUAUCCCUCCACCUUCCUGCUCUGGCCACACUGCCUCCUUUCAGUGUCGAACAUGCCAUGUUCUUCCCUGCCUCGGGUUCUUUGCACAUGUUGUUCCCGCUGCCUGGAAUGCAUGCUCUCUAUCAUCUUCCCUCAGCUCCCUCCUACCCAACUUUCAGGUCUCGGCCCAAACAUCGGGGGUCUCCUCUGACCACACAGUAGUACUGGGCCCUCCUUUGUACUGCUAGUGUUACUUUCUUUUGAAACUUUUAAUUACAGAACUUACCACACAUAUACAUAGAGAGGACUGCACAAUGAUGCCCUCCUCAUCCAUUACCAGCUUCACAAAUCAUUUAAAUUCUGCCUUGUACUUUCCCAACCAGUUGUUUUGGCUUGUGUAUUUUAAAGCAAAGCCAAGACCUCAUAUCAUUUUACCUGCAGAUACUGGGCCAUAAAGAUCUGUAAAACAUAACCCAAAUAUCCUAUCACUGCCAGCAAUAAUUUAUUAACAUCAUCUAAUAUUCAGGCCAUAUCCAAUUUUCCCUGAUUGUCUUGAAAACUAUCCAUUGCUUGCUGUUCUUUUUCAUAAUCUGUCUUUUUCCUUGAUAGAACUUACCACAAUUU